ACUCAAAGGAAUUGACGGGGACCCGCACAAGCGGUGGAGCAUGUUCUUUAAUUCGAUGGUAAGCGAAGAACCUUACCAGGGUUUGACAUCCUUGGAAUUACUGCGAAAGCAGUGAGUGCCUUCGGGAGCCAAGUGACAGGUGAUGCAUGGCCGUCGUCAGCUCGUGUCGUGAGAUGUUAGGUUAAGUCCUUCAACGAGCGCAACCCUUAUGAUUAGUUGUAUUUUUCUAGUCAGACUGCCUCGGUAACGGGGAGGAAGGAGGGGAUGAUGUCAGGUCCGUAUUUCCCUUACACCCUGGGCCAGAAACGUGCUACAAUGGCCGGUACAAAGCGCAGCUAAGUCGCGAGACGGAGCAAAUCGCAUCAAAGCCGGUCCCAGUUCAGAUUGCAGGCUGAAACUCGCCUGCAUGAAGUCGGAAUCGCUAGUAAUCGCAGGUCAGCACACUGCGGUGAAUACGUUCCCGGGUCUUGUACACACCGCCCGU
Molecule: ribosomal RNA, 484 nt
Filed under: uncultured bacterium
Lineage: Bacteria
Description: partial 16S ribosomal RNA
Rfam family: Bacterial small subunit ribosomal RNA
Source: RNAcentral